Patella vulgata (common limpet) is the source of this 1006-nucleotide long non-coding RNA. RefSeq lists it as uncharacterized. NCBI's taxonomy places the organism in Eukaryota, Metazoa, Mollusca, Gastropoda, Patellidae. The record is from RefSeq and is a predicted model, not a curated record. The transcript has 2 exons.
CGAAGUGAUAUAGGUCAUAUGUAUGAUAUAACUGUUAUAACUUUAAACAGCAGAUAGCGAGGAAUACUGGCUUCUCAGAAACUAUACUUGUGUAAUUCUUGGAAACAAGUAACUAUUUUACAAUCUCACUGUUACAAGGUUGCGGUUUAAACUACGUCAAGCUGAAAAGGAUGGAAAUAUACAGGAAGUCGUAGAAAUAUUAUCAUUACAAGAUAAGAUGCAAGCUUUACCUAUAGCUGCUGAAUACGGGUUUUAUAAAGUUAUGGUUUGUCUGUUAGAAGACGGAGUUGUUGAUAUACAUUAUGUUGGGUGACCUAUUUACGGCAAAUAUAAAAAUUUAAAAGACCGUAGAAUUGUGAAAUGAAUAGACCUACACAACUUCUAAAUAUAAAUAAACAAAAUACCAAUACUUCUUUCUUUAAACUAAUUUGGGAUGAUCGGGUCUACUAUGGCACACAAAAAUAAAUUAUGCCGUGACAGACAUGGUUUGCGUACGUCGGCUUUUACCAUGGCUUUGCCGUUUAAUUGCCGUGGUAAAUUUAGAGCGCAAGUUUGUGUACAGAGAAGGGCGAAGGGGUUUAAAUACGACUGGGCGGCUUUCUUCGAUUUUUUCUUUGUGCUGCAGGCGACAAAAAAUACUGACGGACGCAAGCGCCAGGCGCCACCCAGCGUGGCUACACCCCUGAAUGCUGGUGUAGAUGUCAACCAGGUGAAUGAUGAUAAAGAUACACCUAUAUUGAUAGCUGCUGAACGAGGGUUGUAUGAAGUUGUGAUAUAUCUGUUAAAACAUGGAGUAGAUGUACAUGGUGUUGAUAGCUAUAAGGACAACCUGAUAUAUAAACUUUUAGAUUACUAUGAUAAUGAUGACAAACCAGGUAGACGUGAUUUGUUAUUACAAUGUGUAGUUACAUAAGUUGAUGCUGGUGUAGAUGUCAACAAGGUGAAUGAUGAUCAACAGACACCUAUAUUUAUAGCUGCUAUUAUUAGUAUUAAAGGGUUGUAUGAA